RNAcentral lists this ribosomal RNA (465 nucleotides) under uncultured bacterium. RNAcentral's name for it is "partial 16S ribosomal RNA". It matches the Rfam family "Bacterial small subunit ribosomal RNA", at positions 338 to 795 of the family's 1533-position model. The record is from RNAcentral.
CCUACGGGGUGCAGCAGUAGGGAAUCUUCCACAAUGGGCGAAAGCCUGAUGGAGCAACGCCGCGUGGAUGAUGAAGGCCUUAGGAUCGUAAAACUCUGUUGUUAGAGGAGAAAGUGCGGGAGAGUGACUGUUCACGUUUCGACGGUAUCUAACCAGAAAGCCACGGCUAACUACGUGACAGCAGGCGCGGUAAUACGUAGGUGGCAAGCGUUAUCCGGAUUUAUUGGGCGUAAAGGGAGCGCAGGCGGCUUUUUAAGUCUGAUGUGAAAGCUUUCGGCUUAACCGGUGUAGUGCAUUGGAAACUGGGAGACUUGAGUGCAGAAGAGGCAGGCGGAACUCGUAGUGUAGCGGUGAAAUGCGUAGAUAUAUGGAAGAACACCAGUGGCGAAGGCAGCUUUCUGGACUGUAACUGACGCUGAGGCUCGAAAGCGUGGGUAGCAAACAGGAUUAGAUACCCUUGUAGUC